UCCGCUAAGUGUGCAUAGCUGAUCCGAG
RNAcentral lists this non-coding RNA (28 nucleotides) under Mus musculus (house mouse). The record is from RNAcentral. Lineage: Eukaryota; Metazoa; Chordata; Mammalia; Rodentia; Muridae.